Molecule: ribosomal RNA, 443 nt
Filed under: uncultured bacterium
Lineage: Bacteria
Description: partial 16S ribosomal RNA
Rfam family: Bacterial small subunit ribosomal RNA
Source: RNAcentral
CCUACGGGAGGCAGCAGUGGGGGAUAUUGGACAAUGGGGGGAACCCUGAUCCAGCGACGCCGCGUGAGUGAAGAAGUAUUUCGGUAUGUAAAGCUCUGUCAGCAGGGAAGAAAGAAAUGACGGUACCUGACCAAGAAGCCCCGGCUAACUACGUGCCAGCAGCCGCGGUAAUACGUAGGGGGCAAGUGUUAUCCGGAUUUACUGGGUGUAAAGGGAGCGUAGACGGUUAAGUAAGUCUGGAGUGAAAGGCCGGGGCUCAACCCCGGGACUGCUCUGGAAACUAUUUAACUUGAGUGCUGGAGAGGUAAGCGGAAUUCCUAGUGUAGCGGGGAAAUGCGUAGAUAUUAGGAGGAACACCAGUGGCGAAGGCGGCUUACUGGACUGUAACUGACGUUGAGGCUCGAAAGCGUGGGGAGCAAACAGGAUUAGAUACCCGUGUAGUC